Molecule: long non-coding RNA, 1807 nt
Organism: Mytilus californianus (California mussel)
Lineage: Eukaryota; Metazoa; Mollusca; Bivalvia; Mytilida; Mytilidae
Exons: 3
Source: RefSeq, a predicted model, not a curated record
GACAAAAUAACACAUACCAGACAAUGAUUAGGGUGAAUUCUGAGACAAAAUAGCACAUACCAGACAAUGAUGAGGGGUGAAUUCUGAGACAAAAUAACACAUACAAGACAAUAAUGAGGGUAGAAUUCUGAGACAAAAUAACACAUACCAGACAAUGAUGAGGGGUGAAUUCUGAGACAAAAUAACACAUACCAGACAAUAAUGAGGGGUGAAUCCUGAGACAAAAUAACACAUACCAGACAAUGAGGGUAGAAUUCUGAGACAAAAUAACACAUACCAGACAAUGAUUAGGGUGAAUUCUGAGACAAAAUAGCAUAUACCAGACAAUGAUGAGGGGUGAAUUCUGAGACAAAAUAACACAUACCAGACAAUAAUGAGGGGUGAAUUCUGAGACAAAAUAACACAUACCAGACAAUGAUGAGGGGUGAAUCCUGAGAAAGAAUACCACAUACCAGAUAAUAAUGAGGGUAGAAUUCUGAGACAAUAGUUAUCAAAGGUACAAAUACCACAUACAAGACAAUAAUUAGGGUGAAUUCUGAGACAAAAUAGCACAUACCAGACAAUGAUGAGGGGUGAAUUCUGAGACAAAAUAACACAUAUCAGACAAUGAUUAGGGGUGAAUCCUUGGAAAAAAUACCACAUACCAGACAACGAGGGUAGAAUUCUGAGACAAAAUAACACAUACCAGACAAUUAUUAGGGUGAAUUCUGAGACAAAAUAGCACAUACCAGACAAUGAUGAGGGGUGAAUUCUGAGACAAAAUAACACAUACCAGACAAUAAUGAGGGUAGAAUUCUGAGACAAAAUAAAACAUACCAGACAAUGAUGUCAGAUGAGGGGGGAAUUCUGAGACAAAAUAGUGCAUGCCAGACAAUGAUGAGGGGUGAAUUCUGAGACAAAAUAGUGCAUGCCAGACAAUGAUGAGGGGUGAAUUCUGAGACAAAAUAGUGCAUGCCAGACAAUGAUGAGGGGUGAAUUCUGAGACAAAAUAACACAUUGCAGACAAUAAUUAGCAGUGACUUAUUAGAUGGAAUAGGAUAUAAGAGAGAACAAUUAGGGGAAUUCAUGAGACAAAAUAACAUAUAUAACAGGGAACAUUUUCGGGGAAUCAUGAGACAAAAUAACAUUAAUAACAAAGAACAAUAAGAAUUCUCCAGUAGGGUACCCGUUUAAUACACAAGGUCAUGUUUAAAAAUUACUUAAGGUCACUUUUAAGCAAACCAGAGAGUUCUAAACUGAUCUGAUUCUUGGUUUUGAACAUUUUUUAAGGACUUGUGUCUUUUUUAAAUGAGACAUCAGGUCACAAGGUUGCAGAUCGAAAUUUACCAUGUAGGAGCCCCAAGGGGUAAAUCAUGAGACAGGAUAAAAUAUAACUGAACAAUAAGAGGGAAUUAAAAGACCAAGUACAACAUGCAAAAAAAUUAAAAGAAGACAAAAUACUUUACAUCAAAUAACAAAUUUGUAUCAGAAUAAUCAUUUUCCAUUAUUUCCCAAUCAUAAUGCAUGGUAAGAAAAAGAGUAAAAAAAAUGUCCUAGAUAGUUAAAUAUGAGUAAUAACCAUACACAAGAUUCUUUGCUUCAAGAUGAUUUUUUUUUUAAAUUGUGACAUGACUGUUGCUUUUAUUUAUGUAACAAAAAAGAUGGUAUGAAUUACCUUUUUGCAUCAAAAUUACAGAAUUGUGGGUAAUAAAUUAGGAUAUUAUUCUGAUCAUUUUUAUUUUGUAAGACUUUUUGGGAGAUAAUACCAUAUAUAUAGGUUGUUUCCACUUGUAUUGAUACUUUUGUGAUAUAAAUGUCUUAUAUUUUA